This 494-nucleotide ribosomal RNA is filed under the name uncultured Sphingomonadaceae bacterium. RNAcentral describes it as "bacterial SSU rRNA". It matches the Rfam family "Bacterial small subunit ribosomal RNA", at positions 421 to 932 of the family's 1533-position model. The record is from RNAcentral. Lineage: Bacteria; Pseudomonadati; Pseudomonadota; Alphaproteobacteria; Sphingomonadales; Sphingomonadaceae.
GGUUGUAAAGCUCUUUUACCAGGGAUGAUAAUGACAGUACCUGGAGAAUAAGCUCCGGCUAACUCCGUGCCAGCAGCCGCGGUAAUACGGAGGGAGCUAGCGUUGUUCGGAAUUACUGGGCGUAAAGCGUACGUAGGCGGCUAUUCAAGUCAGGGGUGAAAGCCUGGAGCUCAACUCCAGAACUGCCCUUGAAACUAGAUAGCUAGAAUCUUGGAGAGGUGAGUGGAAUUCCGAGUGUAGAGGUGAAAUUCGUAGAUAUUCGGAAGAACACCAGUGGCGAAGGCGACUCACUGGACAAGUAUUGACGCUGAGGUACGAAAGCGUGGGGAGCAAACAGGAUUAGAUACCCUGGUAGUCCACGCCGUAAACGAUGAUAACUAGCUGUUCGGGCUCUACGAGCUUGAGUGGCGCAGCUAACGCAUUAAGUUAUCCGCCUGGGGAGUACGGUCGCAAGAUUAAAACUCAAAGGAAUUGACGGGGGCCUGCACAAGCGG